UCUACAAGGUGUGAUAGAAAUAUUGGCAUUUAAAUUAUUUUAAAAUGUAUUAUAGCAAAUAAUGCGUUGGCACCAAUUCCCCGUAAAACAGUUCCCUUCUCUUCAGAGACACUUCUGCCAUCUUUCUCACCACUUUCUGAAGUCGUUCUGGAAGUCCUCUGUAGUCACGCUGUCCUGGCUGCCUCGAUGUCCCGAAUCAGUUCAGACACUGAAUCGAUUCAGUUCACUUUCCGUGGUCAUUUUGACUUUGAGAAGAACCAGAAGUUGCACGCUUCCAGAUCCAGUGGAUAAGGAUCAAACACAGAGCCUCGGGCAUGCCAGAUGAAGGCCAACCCAGGCAGGCAUUCUUCUACGUGUCAGGCAAAAUCAUCCCAAAAGGCGCAUUAGAAGGCAAAAGAGGGAGUGGGCAGAGAAGGCAAUUUAUUUUUCUGACUUACAUAUUAGAGUUAACUAUGAGGCAGAGAAGAUAAGCUACCCAAUGCCAGUCCUGUGUCAACUUCAAAUACAAGGUAACCGAGUCCAACGGGAGCAAAGCAAUGCUUCAUCUUCUUGUUAUUGCCUCUUAAAGACUCCCCCAAGGUCUGCAAUUCUGGGAAGUAUUAUCUAAAGGAGUCUUCAAGUUCAAACAAAAUAUUUCCAAGAACACAGAAAGAAGGGAUUUUCUGGGAGCGAGCGGCACUCAGUCAAAUGACCAGGAAAGACUGGAUGAUCUUUUUAUGUUCUUUGUGGUAAGUUACAAAACUGUCACAUGAAGAGUCGACCAAAGAGUAUGCAGCUAAAAAUCAUAAAAGAAGAAUUGUAGUGGAAUGGCCUCUUACUGACCCCAGAAGCCAGAGGAGAUAUCCAACUUCUGUAGGACUUGCUCUUGGUUUCCAAGUGGAGCUCAGGAGGACUUAGCAUUCACAGUGCCAUCAUGAGACCAAAGAGACCAAGCCCUCAUCUGCUGGUGACUUGACUGGGACUCUCAGCCUUCAGCUAUAAGAAAUAAACUGUUCAUCAUAAAUUGCCCAGUUUAUGGGUCCUUUGUGUUAGCAGCAAAAAUGGACUAGACACCAGAAUCGGCAUCCAAGUGUUUUGUUAUCUAUUCAAAAUAAAGCCAUAGUAUGACGGCAUUUGUUUGUCACAGUGACAUGAUCUGGGGGGCACUUGAGGACAGCUAGGUGAUCUGGAAGAAAACAUUUAAUACAUUUUCUGUAUAUUUUAUG
Fukomys damarensis (Damara mole-rat) is the source of this 1205-nucleotide long non-coding RNA. RefSeq lists it as uncharacterized. The record is from RefSeq and is a predicted model, not a curated record. The transcript has 5 exons. Lineage: Eukaryota; Metazoa; Chordata; Mammalia; Rodentia; Bathyergidae.